GCCGUUCUAGCUCAGUUGGUAGAGCACUACAUUGGUAAUGUAGAGGUCUUGGGUUCAAUUCCCAAGAACGGCA
This 73-nucleotide transfer RNA is filed under the name Anaplasmataceae bacterium. RNAcentral's name for it is "tRNA-Thr". It matches the Rfam family "tRNA". From Rfam's summary of the family: Transfer RNA (tRNA) molecules are approximately 80 nucleotides in length. Lineage: Bacteria; Pseudomonadati; Pseudomonadota; Alphaproteobacteria; Rickettsiales; Anaplasmataceae. The record is from RNAcentral.